RNAcentral lists this long non-coding RNA (653 nucleotides) under Olea europaea subsp. europaea. The record is from RNAcentral. Lineage: Eukaryota; Viridiplantae; Streptophyta; Magnoliopsida; Lamiales; Oleaceae.
CUUUAAUAAUAUCAACAUCAUUAAGCCACUCCAAAACCAUGAAGCAUAAUUUGGUUCCAAAGCUGGUAGGAAAUAUUUGUCUUAAUAUUACAUCUACCCAUAGGAUCUAUUGCUGGUGCUGUCUUAAUUCAAAUUCCAUUUGUAACAAUUAAAGAUAAAACAUAUAAAACCAAAAGAAGCACAAAGUUUUUAUAUACACACACAUGAUAUUACAUUCUUAGAAAUUCAGAAAAUUAUAGAAAACGCUGAAGGAAAACAAAAGAAGAAGGAAAAAAAAAAGUUUUCUUACAUAGAAUGGCAAUGGCAUAGAGAGAAGUAAUCAGUCGAAGGCUCCCCGUAUGCAUAGUGGAAGGUGAAGUCCCUGAGGUGAUAUGUGUCAAGAGCAGAUGAAGAAAUAUGGUUGCUUCUGCUACUGUUGCCUGUGCUAUUCAACAUUUACAGGUUGGUCCAAUGUGUGCUCCAACAACUGUGAAAAGAAGCUCAAGAUUUUGAGGAAUCAGUAAGCAUUAACGAACAGGUCGAUAUGAAGCACACUUGUCGUAUGAACUCUCAUGGAAUGUAACUUAGAAGAUAAAGGGAAAACAAGGUAGAAUUUACUGUAAUAUGUAAAUCUUAUGCAACUUUUUUCAGUUAUAUCUUUGCUUGAAUACUGG